CAGUUGAUUGUCAAAAUACGAUUGCAGAUCGAAAUUUUCUCCGAUCGGGCUUUCAAAUGGCUGCUGCAUAUAUUUGCUUUAAUUAAUGAUGAUUUCGUACUUGAGUUGCGAGGCGACUGUUGAGAUGAAUACGAUGUUGCAAUGGAUGUGUAUUUGUGUCAUGUUUUUGCCCUGCCCUUGCUCUCUUCCUCACUCUUGUUGGCUGGCCAGAUUGCACUGUAAACUAUUUUAAAUACCUCGAAGCAUAGGACCCAUUGUCCUGCUAAAUCAACGUUUGGUUUGUGGGUUUUUAUGUGGGUAUUUUGAGUGGGUGUGAUCCAUUGGUUGUGCAGGUGAAUGUGCUCUUGGAGUCGCAUGUGAUAAUUUCUGAUUGCCGACGGUAUUAGGAGUCCGCCUUGGACGCACUUCAAGAGUCUGUGGUGAGCGCUUGGAGCAUUUCGCUUAGGGUUGCGAUUAACAACAACCAGAUCAUUCAAGUGAACCUGAUCCAAGACAAUCUACAGUCUUUGAUUUCUUGUAGAAAGAUCGACCUGACGUACGCAACGCAGGAGGAGACCAACUUAUCGUUCAUCCGACGAUUCGAUGCGUAGCUGGAUUACCCGUUCUUUGAGCACCAGGUGGGUGUGAGGAGGGAGCGGAGGGCUGAGUUGCAAGAUUUGUGUAGCGACUGGAUGACUCAAGGGGCUUCUCGGCAGGCUGUGCAUUACUAGGGAUUAGAAUUGUCAUCUGCUACAACUAAUGAUUUUGUCUGUUCUACCAUUUCUUUGUUUCCAUUUCAAGAAGGAAUUCUAGGAAGAAAAUCAAAGUAAA
Physcomitrium patens is the source of this 810-nucleotide non-coding RNA. Lineage: Eukaryota; Viridiplantae; Streptophyta; Bryopsida; Funariales; Funariaceae. The record is from RefSeq and is a predicted model, not a curated record.